UUCUACCUGCUCUGCUGCCACCUCAAGGCUCGGAAGAGAGUGGGUUAUGAUUAUGUUGAAUCGUGAUGAUUAAAUUCACUGGUGGACUGUCCACACACCUGUUUAGGGUGUUUCUCCGUUAAUACCGAGGCGCUGGAAGGGGCUCCUGCAAUCCCGACUUCCCGAGACGCUACAACAGGCCGAAGAGGAAUGCACUGAUGUGUGGUUUAAAUCAGGUGAACUCGCGCAGGUUAACAGUUUGGCCUUAUAAAGUUUUUGUAAAGUACUUAUUUUCCAAGGAGACUGCCUGUCUUGAACUUGAAAAAUAUGAGACGUGAUUUGUGAAGGAGCAGCGAAAAAUCAGAGUCUUACCACAGGAGGGCAGGAAUUCCUUGAGUACUGGACAGACUGCGACACAGUCUGCAUGCAUAUUGAUAAUUCUGCAGCUAACACUGGAUCCGAUCUGCUGAGUCCACAGUCACCGCAGUAAACAGGUUUCUGUCUGUUGGAUGUGAGGGAUUGGCAAUGAGCUGGCAUUCUGUCAUUCCCUUACUUUACACCCCAGAGACCUCAGAGGAGAGAGGGACUGGGGCUGUUUGGGUGGAGAAGACUUCAAGCAGCUGGAUGAUGGCGCUCUUUCCCUAAGCAUUCCCUCUCUGAUGCCAUAUUUUUCUUUCAUGACGUCCCUCUUAAAAUCACGCUUAACAGACUCUGCUGUUUUAUCCAGGUUAUAUCUUUUCCUUUUCCUAGAAAUUUCCUUUGAAAGUCAUGCCUUAACCUGUGACUGGUCAAGGUCGACUUGAUCUAAUGCAUUAAAUGAAAGAGCUGCACAUGGUGAGCUUGUGAACAUGUACACUACCGUUUAAAGGUACUAGACUAAAGAACUGACUGAGGAACACGAUGUAGAUAAGUGCUUUUGAACUGGCUUUGCUUCAGGAUGUAGAAUUUCAUUGGAACUCAAGUGCUGA
Long non-coding RNA from Sinocyclocheilus rhinocerous, 947 nucleotides. RefSeq lists it as uncharacterized. The record is from RefSeq and is a predicted model, not a curated record. NCBI's taxonomy places the organism in Eukaryota, Metazoa, Chordata, Actinopteri, Cypriniformes, Cyprinidae. The transcript is spliced from 3 exons.